GACCGAGGCGAUUAAAAGGGAAUCAGGUGAAAGACCUGAACAGACCCGCUACUGUAAGUUCCAUUGCAAACUUCCGGACACGAUUAGUGUCACUGGCCGCCAUGCGGCCGGGAAGGCCGUCCCGGAAGAGGAACAAGUCAGGAGACCUGCCAUGCAGUCA
RNAcentral lists this non-coding RNA (160 nucleotides) under human gut metagenome. The record is from RNAcentral.